RNAcentral lists this ribosomal RNA (497 nucleotides) under uncultured bacterium. RNAcentral describes it as "partial 16S ribosomal RNA". It matches the Rfam family "Bacterial small subunit ribosomal RNA", at positions 28 to 507 of the family's 1533-position model. The record is from RNAcentral.
GAUGAACGCUGGCGGCGUGCCUAAUACAUGCAAGUCGAGCGAACAGAUAAGGAGCUUGCUCCUUUGACGUUAGCGGCGGACGGGUGAGUAACACGUGGGUAACCUACCUAUAAGACUGGAAUAACUCCGGGAAACCGGGGCUAAUGCCGGAUAACAUUUAGAACCGCAUGGUUCUAAAGUGAAAGAUGGUUUUGCUAUCACUUAUAGAUGGACCCGCGCAGUAUUAGCUAGUUGGUAAGGUAACGGCUUACCAAGGCAACGAUACGUAGCCGACCUGAGAGGGUGAUCGGCCACACUGGAACUGAGACACGGUCCAGACUCCUACGGGAGGCAGCAGUAGGGAAUCUUCCGCAAUGGGCGAAAGCCUGACGGAGCAACGCCGCGUGAGUGAUGAAGGUCUUCGGAUCGUAAAACUCUGUUAUUAGGGAAGAACAAAUGUGUAAGUAACUGUGCACGUCUUGACGGUACCUAAUCAGAAAGCCACGGCUAACUACGUG